GGGGAUGACAGGUAUCGAUAAAAGCAUAGUUUUUUAAUAAGCAAAUCGAGCUCAAAAUCUCGUUAAACUCUUGAAAAAAAAUCUAAGUGCAAACUUGAUUUCAAAAGCUAAGAGCACAGUAGCUUCGCUAUUUGCUGCUCCAGCUUAUGCUAUUGUAUAAAACCAAUAGCCAUCCGAACUUUCAACUCCUGAUAGAAAACUUCGGGUGUCAAUUUUUCAGGAUAGAUAAUUAAAAAUUGCCUUGGUUUAAUUAUUGAAAACUUUAGAGGCGAUAAUUAAAAGUUUUUUGCUUGGUUUUAAGCUUUUAGUUAUUAUUUCAAAUCAAGCUAAAUUUGUAGAAUUAUUAAAAAAUAUCUUUUAGACGGGGGUUCGAUCCCCCCUUCUCCACAA
This 390-nucleotide transfer-messenger RNA is filed under the name Patescibacteria group bacterium. It matches the Rfam family "transfer-messenger RNA". From Rfam's summary of the family: Bacterial tmRNA, also known as 10Sa RNA or SsrA, is named for its dual tRNA and mRNA-like properties. Its role is to liberate the mRNA from a stalled ribosome. The record is from RNAcentral.